GGAACCACACCAAUCCAUCCCGAACUUGGUGGUAAAACUCUACUGCGGUGACAAUACUGUAGGGGAAGCCCUGCGGAAAAAUAGCUCGACGCCAGAAU
RNAcentral lists this ribosomal RNA (98 nucleotides) under Psilotum nudum. Lineage: Eukaryota; Viridiplantae; Streptophyta; Polypodiopsida; Psilotales; Psilotaceae. The record is from RNAcentral.